AAAACGGCCCUUUUCAGGGCCCCUCAACGUUGAGACUAGGUACUAA
Molecule: non-coding RNA, 46 nt
Organism: Acyrthosiphon pisum (pea aphid)
Lineage: Eukaryota; Metazoa; Arthropoda; Insecta; Hemiptera; Aphididae
Source: Rfam